GGAGGGUGUGACUAGUGACAGAGUUAGGGAGGGAAGGGGUAACUAGUGACAGAGGGAGGGGUGACUAGGGACAGAGUGAGGGAGAUGGUGACUAGUGACAGUCAUCACCUCUGUCACUAGUCACCACCUCCCUCCCUCUGUCACCAGUCAUCCCCUUACUCUGUCACUAGUCACCCCUUCCUUCCCUCUCUCUGCCACUAGUCACCCCUUCCCUCACUCUGUCACUAGUCACCCCCUCAC
This is a non-coding RNA of Pelobates cultripes (western spadefoot toad), 240 nucleotides long. The record is from the annotation of a GenBank genome assembly. Lineage: Eukaryota; Metazoa; Chordata; Amphibia; Anura; Pelobatidae.